Molecule: long non-coding RNA, 1011 nt
Filed under: Oryza sativa (Asian cultivated rice)
Lineage: Eukaryota; Viridiplantae; Streptophyta; Magnoliopsida; Poales; Poaceae
Description: long non-coding RNA (OSAT_LNC000375)
Source: RNAcentral
UUGACUGUACAUGCUCUUCCGUAGCAUACCAAGUUAUAGUUGAUCUAAUCAAAUGAAAUUGACGAGCUUACAUUUAUCACUGAUGCAGUAUUGUGAUACGAGUAUAUAUAUGACAUCACUUUUAAAUGCUACAAGUCUAGGACACCAAACGGGAAAGAGUUUAAGACGGCUGACUGUUUACAGGUUGCAGGCUUUCUGGAGGUAUCUCUGUAAUUCUCUAUGUUGUUGUCCCCUGCAAAAAGGGUUGGCAGAUCAAAACAAUUAAUUGAUUAAGUUAAUACAGCUAUCACAUAUAUCAGAAUUAACAUAGAUGUAUAAAAUCUGUGAAGUAUGUAUAUAUGAUAUUGGUUCUUGAAUUAAUAUUACUAGAACGAAGUUUCAGUUUCAGGAAUUAUUACCAUAGGACACAACCCCAUUGUUUAUGAGCUCCGUGCUCUCCUGCAGUCAGAACAUGGCUAUUUAUGCAGUCAGAACAUGGCUAUUUAGGUGUAAGUAACAUAGGAAAAAUUGUUGUUAGAGCUCAGAAGACCAGGGUAUAGGUUUACAAUAUCAAUCUUAUAAGCCUUACAUGUUAUUUACAAUAUCAAUCUUAUGGAAAAAAGAAGAUGAGCAAUUCCUUCAAUACAUCUGACUGUAUGUAUUAAUCAGCAAGAUGAAAAUACUGCUUCAUUUUUUACAUGCAUAUGUAUCUUUAUUUGUGGCUUGAUCAUACCCAUAUAUCUAAGAUUAUUAGAGGAAGUUGUAGACUUCUCCGUGGAACAAAAAUUAGCAACCUAAUUACUAUUGGUUGAGUGCUGCAGGAAGGGUUUGUAAAUCAUAUGCGCCAUGGACACAACAAAAAAAAGAAACAAAUGCAGUAGAUCUGCAGAGGAACAGAGCAGCUCAGAGCAACAGAGAAUUCAGGAGCAGAGAGCAAACCUUGAUCUACACGGUAUUUAUCCUUCUCGCACAGCUGCCGUCGUUCCGGCCAGAAUGGAUGGCCCCCAUCUGUGCGCCGUCACUCGCCUGUCG